Molecule: unclassified non-coding RNA, 2206 nt
Filed under: Leishmania donovani
Lineage: Eukaryota; Euglenozoa; Kinetoplastea; Trypanosomatida; Trypanosomatidae
Description: gene:LdHU3.36.3850(CDS-product:hypothetical_prote in_conserved)
Source: RNAcentral
AGCAAACCACGCAUUCCCGACGACCGUGCCGCGCCGACAUCCAUAGCUGCCACUCGCUCCUUUUUAUUUUCUUCCUUUCCAGUCUUCCGUGCCGUUAGACUCGAUCGCUCGCUAGCUUGAAAUGGAGCAUCAGUACUUUUUCAUCGAGGCCACGUGGCUGGAGGCGGCGGCAGCUGGUAUUUGCUCACGCAACGGAAUCAUCUUGAAGGAUGCCAUCGCCAAGGCGGAGAAGGGCAUACCAGUUCAGAUCAAAAACGACUCCGCUCCGACUAUGCACAGUCUCAUCCAAACGACACAUGCCUCGCUGGAGCAGGCCUGCGAGCGAUACUUACAUCAAAACGCGCGGAAUCUUCGACUCACCCGAGCAAGCAAGCCAACACCUGCCGUGGAGGCCCUCAACGAGGCGGAGCGCGCGUCCUGCCGCGAGCUAGUGGUGCGCAUCGCCAUCACAGGUGCCCUGACGCAAUACCAGCGCUGCACACGCAAGUGCAUCUUGCAGGACUCGAGCUCGUUCUCCCCGUCCUCGUCUCAUCCAGUUGUGUCUGCGAGCAAGACCGUGCAGGGAAACGGUGUGACAGAGACGCAGCUGGAGCGCAGUUUACAGACGACGCUUUUGAAGGGGCUUCUGUACGCCUUCGAGUCCUUUCAGGAGUGCCACUCCAUGAACCGCGAUCACUAUCCGCCACGCGUGGACAGUAACACUCCCGGCACUGUCGGCUGGGAUACCCUUGUGCUGCUGUACCUGGUUCACCGCAUACCGCAAGUCGCCCGCCACGCGAGUGGCAGCGCCAUUGACGAUUGCAUCGGGCAGGUGAUACGAACGUGGCGCAAGCUGUUGGUUGCACUCCAGUCUGUAGACGCCCAGGAAGCUCCCGAGCACUCGCGCCGUCGCGGGGCCCUCUCCCUCGUGAACGGUCUCCUCAUCAUUCUGUUUCAGCGCUACAACACUCACCAGUGCGCCGUACUCUUGGGUGCCGUGGAGCAUGCAGAGAAUGUCGCCGAGUCAUCCAAAGAGCCGGCACGCUCCAUCCUACACCCUUCGCGGCACAUGGUGUCAGAGGUGGUCACCUAUCACUACUAUCAAGGCCGGAUGCGCUUGUACGAGCGGAAGCUCGACGAAGCCCACCGCAUUUUGCGGAUAGCUUACACGCUUUUGCCGCCCGCAGGGUUCGGCAAUGAGCCUCAGCGCCUCAACAAGGAGCGGGUGCGCUUCUUUCUCUCUGUGGCCGGUGUAGCGAAUGGGCGGCGCAUCCCCGCUGAGAUUCUGCGCGCCGACGAGGAUUUGCUCCCGCGCCUGUUCGGUUCCUUGACCGCGGCCAUUGAGCGAGGGGACCCGGUGCGCUUCUCCGGUGCUCUCGACAGCAACGCCUCGACGUUCCAUCGCCGCGGCGUGUAUCUAAUUCUGCAGCAGGCAAAGAUCCUCUGCUAUCUCAUGGUGGUCGCCCGUGUGCACGCCGCCAUGGCGGCACUUUCUGACGUGGACAACAGCCGUAUCACAAUUCCAACGUUGCUGGCCGCGUACACCUACAUCACCAGCGAGGAGCCGCAGAGUGGGAAGCCGUCCGCAGAGUCGAAGAAACGCUCACGAGACGACGAGGCUGUGCCGCCAGUCUCUGAGGCUUGCAUGGCGGAGAGCGUUAUGGAUGAAGACCGCAUGGCGCUCUGGAUUGCGAAACUCAUUGCGCGAGGAUAUGUGCGUGGGUACUACUCGCACGAGCACAAGACGCUGGUGUUGUCAAAGAAGGUCCCCUUUCCCCUCUUACAAGAAGAGGUGUGAGCUAUGGAGGUGAGGCACAACAUGCGGGGUGGAAGCGGAGGCGAAGCCGGGUGGGCCCAUCACCGCACCAUUGGAGAGAAUCACGUAGGUCUAACGUGAGGAGAAGUCUGAGCGAGGGAGUACAGGGGCAGAACUCUAGCCGAUGAAGGCCUCCGUGUUGGCUGCGUCGCUAUUCACCCCUCUCCGUCUCUCUUCCUCUUUUCACGUCCGCUUCUGUUGUCCUUUUUUUGUUUGCCUAUUUUAUCUGCCUUUGCGAGCCACCUCUUUGGUCACCUGAGGUAGGCAGAGAGUCGUGUGCCGCCUGAAGCGACCUCGUGCCACCUCCGCUCGAGUUUCAGCAAAGAGAUACACUGCGAUGUCACACGGACUACACGGGCUGAGACCGGCUCCGCAUGAAGGCAUCUAAUCAUCUACCAUACAAGAGCACUG